RNAcentral lists this ribosomal RNA (481 nucleotides) under uncultured bacterium. RNAcentral describes it as "partial 16S ribosomal RNA". It matches the Rfam family "Bacterial small subunit ribosomal RNA", at positions 30 to 507 of the family's 1533-position model. The record is from RNAcentral.
AUUGAACGCUGGCGGCAUGCCUUACACAUGCAAGUCGAACGGUAACGGGCCUUCGGGUGCCGACGAGUGGCGAACGGGUGAGAAUACAUCGGAACGUGCCCGAUCGUGGGGGAUAACGAGGCGAAAGCUUUGCUAAUACCGCAUACGAUCUACGGAUGAAAGCAGGGGACCGCAAGGCCUUGCGCGGACGGAGCGGCCGAUGGCAGAUUAGGUAGUUGGUGGGAUAAAAGCUUACCAAGCCGACGAUCUGUAGCUGGUCUGAGAGGAUGAUCAGCCACACUGGGACUGAGACACGGCCCAGACUCCUACGGGAGGCAGCAGUGGGGAAUUUUGGACAAUGGGCGCAAGCCUGAUCCAGCCAUGCCGCGUGCAGGAUGAAGGCCUUCGGGUUGUAAACUGCUUUUGUACGGAACGAAAAGCCUUCUUUUAAUACAGGAGGGUCAUGACGGUACCGUAAGAAUAAGCACCGGCUAACUACGUG